RNAcentral lists this ribosomal RNA (301 nucleotides) under uncultured bacterium. RNAcentral's name for it is "partial 16S ribosomal RNA". It matches the Rfam family "Bacterial small subunit ribosomal RNA", at positions 509 to 807 of the family's 1533-position model. The record is from RNAcentral.
CAGCCGCCACGGUAAUACGAAGGGGGCUAGCGUUGCUCGGAAUUACUGGGCGUAAAGGGCGCGUAGGCGGACAGUUCAGUCGGGGGUGAAAGCCCGGGGCUCAACAUCGGAAUUGCCUUCGAUACUGGCUGUCUUGAGUAUGAGAGAGGUGUGUGGAACUCCGAGUGUAGAGGUGAAAUUCGUAGAUAUUCGGAAGAACACCAGUGGCGAAGGCGACACACUGGCUCAUUACUGACGCUGAGGCGCGAAAGCGUGGGGAGCAGACAGGAUUAGAUACCCCCGUAGUCCCUGUCUCUUAUAC